This 497-nucleotide ribosomal RNA is filed under the name uncultured bacterium. RNAcentral describes it as "bacterial SSU rRNA". It matches the Rfam family "Bacterial small subunit ribosomal RNA", at positions 28 to 515 of the family's 1533-position model. The record is from RNAcentral.
GAUGAACGCUAGCGAUAGGCCUAACACAUGCAAGUCGAGGGGCAGCACAUGACGUAGCAAUACAGAUGGUGGCGACCGGCGCACGGGUGAGUAACACGUAUGCAACCUACCUUUAACACGGGCAUAACCCGGAGAAAUUCGGACUAAUUCCCGAUAAUACAGGGGUCCCGCAUGGGAAUAUUUGUUAAAGAUUUAUUGGUUAAAGAUGGGCAUGCGUUCCAUUAGCUAGUUGGUGAGGUAACGGCUCACCAAGGCAACGAUGGAUAGGGGAACUGAGAGGUUUAUCCCCCACACUGGAACUGAGACACGGUCCAGACUCCUACGGGAGGCAGCAGUGAGGAAUAUUGGUCAAUGGAGGCAACUCUGAACCAGCCAAGUCGCGUGAAGGAUGAAUGUCCUAUGGAUUGUAAACUUCUUUUGUACAGGAAUAAAGUGAGCCACGUGUGGUUUUUGCAUGUACUGUACGAAUAAGGAUCGGCUAACUCCGUGCCAGCACG